Cucurbita maxima (winter squash) is the source of this 397-nucleotide long non-coding RNA. RefSeq lists it as uncharacterized. The transcript has 3 exons. NCBI's taxonomy places the organism in Eukaryota, Viridiplantae, Streptophyta, Magnoliopsida, Cucurbitales, Cucurbitaceae. The record is from RefSeq and is a predicted model, not a curated record.
GUGUUUAUAUAUAAGGAAUGUGGAACAGAGGAUUGGACAGAAACAGAGCAGAAAGAGGGAAAAAAGAGAUGACAGCAUUACACGUGGCAUUAAUUGAUUUCCGCAAACGUGUGGGAGUGGACAUCUUCAAACCCUAAAUGCGGCUGCCUGCCACAACUAACCCCACAUAUCGUUCGAUAAAUGCACUUGUUGAUAGAUAUUUCUUCAAUGUCUCGUGGCACUUAUUGUUUUCGACGUGGUGUCAAUUCGUUCAUAUGAAGCAAGCACGUGACAGUUCGUCCUAUUUUGAUAUUCACGAUUAGAAAACACUAAAUUUUCUCCUGUUUGAACUAUGAACACACAAGGUCAAUACAUGUGUGUCGGGUGUGCUACAGAUCUUGUUUUACCAAAUUUAAUU